RNAcentral lists this ribosomal RNA (498 nucleotides) under uncultured bacterium. Its description in RNAcentral is "partial 16S ribosomal RNA". It matches the Rfam family "Bacterial small subunit ribosomal RNA", at positions 28 to 507 of the family's 1533-position model. The record is from RNAcentral.
GAUGAACGCUGGCGGCGUGCCUAAUACAUGCAAGUCGAGCGAACUUUUGGGAUCUUGCUCCCAAAAGUUAGCGGCGGACGGGUAAGUAACACUUGGGUACCCUGCCUGUCAGAGUGGGAUAACUUCGUGAAACCGGAGGUAAUAGCGGAUAACAUUGAAGACCACAUGGUCUUCAAUUAAAAGUUUGCUUUUAGCUACCACUUACAGUUUGCCCCGGGGCGCAUUAGCUAUUUGUUUGUGUACCGGCUCACCAACGCUACGAUGCGUAGCCGACCUGAACGGGGGAUGGGCAACACUGGUACUGGGACACGUCCCAGACUCCUACGGGAGGCAGAAGUAGGGAAUCUUCCGCAAUGGCCGCAAGUCUGACGGUGCAACGCCGCGUGAGCGAAGGAGGCCUUCGGGUCGUAAAGCUCUGUUGUUAGGGAGGAACGAGUAUCGUUCGAAUAGGGCGGUACCUUGACGGUACCUAAACAGAAAGCCACGGCUAACUACGUG